UUUCUGCCCGGUUCUUCUUUGCUUUCAGAGCCGUUUAUAACCAACGGAAUCUGUCAUAGAUGACGCUAAACUCACAGCUUGAAAAUGGCUUCCACUGACAUCUCUCUUUCACUACCGCCAUUCCCUUCUUCGAGUGUUAAACCCAAAGCUUCCGUCUUCAGCAACUGCCAUUUAUUCAUUGCAAAGAAUUCACCAUCUUCUUCUUCACUCCUCACUUCAACAUCAACACAAAGAAGAACAGAGCAAGUUUGUACUUCUUUCAGGAUCAAAUGCUCAUAGGCUUCUUCUUCUUCGAAUACUCUUCCUUCUGCUCUUCUUUUUUACUGUGAUGGUGUCUCGUUGAUACUGACAAGGAUGGCCACCGGGUUUCGUUCAAUUGCUUCCAAUUUUCCCCUCGAAUUUUGAUUGGGUUUUUGUUUUUGUGUUUUGGGUAUUUGGUAUUUGGUUAUGUUGUAGAAUUGCCAUGUUUAUUGAAUUUUAGGAUUUGGGUUUUAUUAAAGUAUCCGAUAAUUAGAAUAUUUUUGUUUUCUUUGAGAUGAUUGGAUGCUUUGGCUUUCCUCCUGGAUGUGGGAUGUUGUUCUACCCAGAGAGAUUUCUUCAGCCAUUGCUCAAUUUCCAACCCCCAAAACUCGGAGGACUUCUUCAACCUACUCUCACUUGUAAUACGAAACGCCUCUCGUUCAGCUCCAUCUUCUUCUCCGCCUCUAGAUCAAAUUAAGAAACGAAGUUUUCUCGAGAAUCAAACGCUGAACAAUGAACCGUCAAAAGCUGCUGCUGAUACCACAGUGACCAAGGCUCGUACUUCAUUUGAUGGUUGUUCCAAGUCGUCAUUGCCAGGUAAAAGGGCGAGCCUGAUGAAAGCGUUUGGAGAUUUCACUGAAUCUGAUACGGAUAUGUCAUUCGUAAGCUCGAUUUCCCUGCUUAAUCCAGUAUAAAAGAUUUAUUUAGUGAUUUUACUUUGUUAGGAUUAUUUAUUUUUUCUGUUCUUUUACUUCAACUUUAUUGUGAACUAAAAUUCAAUGCAAUUCAUAGACACAAGGGCAACGUUCGCUUAAGGUUAUUGUUGAAAAGGAGAAUGUUUGCAGAGUGUUUUUAUUCAUGCAGAAUUCUUACAUUUACCCUUCAGUUUUGUUUGAGAGAAAUCGAGACACGUUUGAAACAUGCUUGAUUUGGAAUAAGAAACAAGCCUGAGAAGUACAUACUUGAUUUGGAAUAAGACAAGUUAUAGUGGAUUUUUGUUUUCUUAUCUUUUUAAUCAGUGUGUUGGUUGCGAGUGGGAUAAGUGAAUUGAUUGAGAGAGCGUUGUGAGGUGAAAGAAAAAGGAAUAACAAAAAUGAGUAGGCUAUCGUUUAGGCCAUGCCCAUUGGACAUACACAAGAAGCUACAGAUUGUUAAAUCAGUGAAAGACCUCGAAGACGAUGACACUCCUACUUCCGCUGCGACUUGCUGUUGUUGAGGUCGAAACGGAGGUACCCUUUUUCACAUCUACUCGCAUUUUGUAAUCUCAAGGUAAAUCAAAAUCCUGCAAAUUGGUUUUAGAUUAAUACAUUUGCUUUUAUAUAUAAACACAGCCUCUGGGAAAGCAGUAAUAGAAAAUUAGAGCUUCAAAACAAUGAGACUAUUUU
This is a long non-coding RNA of Hibiscus syriacus, 1625 nucleotides long. RefSeq lists it as uncharacterized. The transcript has 2 exons. The record is from RefSeq and is a predicted model, not a curated record. Lineage: Eukaryota; Viridiplantae; Streptophyta; Magnoliopsida; Malvales; Malvaceae.